UUUUUCUUAUUUUUCAAUUUUUGGCUAGCAAAAAAUAACAUUUUUUUUUUUAUUGGAAUUAAGGCCAACUUCAAACGUCGUCUAUCUCGCUAUUUUACUAGGAAAGUGAGAAGAAAAUUGGUAUCUCUCAAAAGGAAGUAGCUAAUGAUUUGAAGACAUACAGAAGCCACAUGACUAGUAAGUACAGAGAGCAUCUACAAAGAGCAAGACUGGCGUUGUACAAUUAUAUGAAACCUCUAGGCUACACAGUUGUUCAGUUAAUAUAUUUCUUAAUGAAUUCAAUAAUUUGCUUUUAAAUAUAAAUUCUUAUAAUUUGAUAAUUGUUGGUGACUUUAAUUUAGACUCUUUAAGCAAUACAGAAAAUAUUGAUUAUUAUCUUUCAAUUUUAGUCGAUAACGGACUGUUUUCUUUUGUUAAUGAACCUAUGUACUAGAAUUAGUUCUGGGUCUUGUUUAGAACAUAUUCAUGCUCGUUUUGGUGUUAUUCCUUUGGAGAUGAAAAAGGUGUGUUUAAUUUACAGAUAACUGCAUGACUGGACUACUUGUUAAGUCUUUAAAGGUUGAGAAAACAAAUAAUACACCUAUUACUGCUUCCAUUACAAAAAUAGAUUAUAAUAGACUAAAUAACAUGCUUCUGUAUGAAUUUUGGGAUGCUGUUUACAAUGAAUCAAAUGCUAGUUCGGCAUAAAAUAAAUUCAUUGAAAUUUUUAGCAGCUAUAUUUCCCAAUGUACAUUUAGCGUUAGACCAAGUGUGAAAAAUAAAAAGUUAAAACUGUGGAUGAAUGAUGUCUUGUUGAGAAAAGUGAAAAUGAAAAACAAAUUAAGAGUCAAGUUAUAUAAGCACCAUUCUUAUGGAAAUUGAAAAAGCGUUAUAAUAAGCUGUUAGUAAGGUAAUAAAAAAGAUAUUGCGUAAUGCCGUGAUAGAUUUUAUCAUAAUGAAUUUAUCAGAUGUAAUGGUAACAUAAAGAACGAGUGGAGGCUAGUUAAUAACUCGCUCAACAAGAACUCGAGUAAUAAUAAGAAAUUGGAAUUGAUGAAUAAUGGACUAUUGAUAACAGAUGAGUUUCUAAUUGCUAAUGAGUUCAAUAAGCAUUUUUCUUCAGUUGCUGUAAAAUUGUCUUCUGGUCUGGGUUCUAAUUAUGAUUACAGUACAAUGGAAGUAAAUAGUGUGCGUAAUAGCUUUGUUUUUGAUGGCUUUUCCGUUCUUGAGCUUCUCCAAAUUAUUCGGUCUCUAAGUAAUUCAAACUCUGUAGGGAUUGAUAAUAUUUCCAAUAAAUUGUUGAAGGAAAUUGCUUUUAAUAUUAUAGAUGUUCUAGCUUAUAUUUUCAAUUUUAGUGUUCUUUCGGGCUUAUUUCCUGACCAGUUC
This is a long non-coding RNA of Condylostylus longicornis, 1365 nucleotides long. RefSeq lists it as uncharacterized. The record is from RefSeq and is a predicted model, not a curated record. NCBI's taxonomy places the organism in Eukaryota, Metazoa, Arthropoda, Insecta, Diptera, Dolichopodidae. The transcript has 3 exons.